RNAcentral lists this ribosomal RNA (1286 nucleotides) under metagenome. Its description in RNAcentral is "bacterial SSU rRNA". It matches the Rfam family "Bacterial small subunit ribosomal RNA", at positions 243 to 1520 of the family's 1533-position model. The record is from RNAcentral.
AGCUAGUUGGUGGGGUAAAGGCCUACCAAGGCUACGAUCUGUAGCGGGUCUGAGGGGAUGAUCCGCCACACUGGAACUGAGACACGGUCCAGACUCCUACGGGAGGCAGCAGUGGGGAAUUUUGGACAAUGGGGGCAACCCUGAUCCAGCCAUGCCGCGUGAGUGAAGAAGGCCUUCGGGUUGUAAAGCUCUUUCGGCCGGGAAGAAAUCGCAUAGGCUAAUACCCUGUGUGGAUGACGGUACCGGAAUAAGAAGCACCGGCUAACUACGUGCCAGCAGCCGCGGUAAUACGUAGGGUGCGAGCGUUAAUCGGAAUUACUGGGCGUAAAGCGUGCGCAGGCGGUUUAGUAAGACAGGCGUGAAAUCCCCGGGCUCAACCUGGGAACUGCGCUUGUGACUGCUAAGCUAGAGUACGGCAGAGGGGGGUGGAAUUCCACGUGUAGCAGUGAAAUGCGUAGAGAUGUGGAGGAACACCGAUGGCGAAGGCAGCCCCCUGGGCCGAUACUGACGCUCAUGCACGAAAGCGUGGGUAGCAAACAGGAUUAGAUACCCUGGUAGUCCACGCCCUAAACGAUGUCAACUAGGUGUUGGGAGGGUAAAACCUUUUAGUACCGGAGCUAACGCGUGAAGUUGACCGCCUGGGGAGUACGGCCGCAAGGUUAAAACUCAAAGGAAUUGACGGGGACCCGCACAAGCGGUGGAUGAUGUGGAUUAAUUCGAUGCAACGCGAAAAACCUUACCUACCCUUGACAUGUCCAGAAGCUCUUAGAGAUUUGAGUGUGCCCGAAAGGGAGCUGGAACACAGGUGCUGCAUGGCUGUCGUCAGCUCGUGUCGUGAGAUGUUGGGUUAAGUCCCGCAACGAGCGCAACCCUUGUCGUUAAUUGCCAUCAUUUAGUUGGGCACUUUAACGAGACUGCCGGUGACAAACCGGAGGAAGGUGGGGAUGACGUCAAGUCCUCAUGGCCCUUAUGGGUAGGGCUUCACACGUCAUACAAUGGUCGGUACAGAGGGUUGCCAAGCCGCGAGGUGGAGCCAAUCCCAGAAAGCCGAUCGUAGUCCGGAUUGCAGGCCGCAACUCGCCUGCAUGAAGUCGGAAUCGCUAGUAAUCGCGGAUCAGCAUGUCGCGGUGAAUACGUUCCCGGGUCUUGUACACACCGCCCGUCACACCAUGGGAGCGGGUUCCGCCAGAAGUAGGUAGCCUAACCGCAAGGGGGGCGCUUACCACGGCGGGGUUCGUGACUGGGGUGAAGUCGGAACAAGGUAGCCGUAGGGGUACCUGCGGCUG